UACGUAGGGUGCAAGCGUUGUCCGGAUUUACUGGGUGUAAAGGGCGCGCAGGCGGACUAAUAAGUCAUUGGUGAAAUCUUUCCGCUUAACGGAAAAACUGCCUCUGAUACUAUUAGUCUUGAGUACGGUAGAGGAAGACGGAAUUCCAGGUGUAGCGGUGAAAUGCGUAGAUAUCUGGAAGAACACCAGUUGCGAAGGCGGUCUUCUGGCCCGUUUACUGACGCUCAGGCGCGAAAGCGUGGGUAGCAAACAGG
This 254-nucleotide ribosomal RNA is filed under the name uncultured bacterium. Its description in RNAcentral is "partial 16S ribosomal RNA". It matches the Rfam family "Bacterial small subunit ribosomal RNA", at positions 524 to 776 of the family's 1533-position model. The record is from RNAcentral.